UCAGGCACAUGGCUAUUCUCCUGCUGUGCCGCGGCCCUCGAUCCUCGCCCUUCCUCACUCUGUAGCACACUACGUGUGCACCCUUCUUGUUGGAUGCCGUCUCGCUUCGAUUUUCGUUUUUUUUUCGCGCGCAGCCUUCUCCGACUUCCGCGUCUGCGAGCGACUGCUUUUGUGCCGCUCCCGAGGCCAAGAAGUGUCUAGGGAUGUCACCCUUGCCUUCGCGUCUCCUCCUCGUCUCCUCGACGCUCCGUCUUCUCCGCGGGGCGUGCUCACUUGCAGCACUGCAUUGAUUUCGUGUCUUCCCCAUCUGCCUUUACUUGCUCGUCCACGGCGUCGCUGUCGUCGUCUAUCAUCUCUCCUGUGGCUUUCCUUUUUCGUUGUGCGGUUCGCGGUCGUGUCUCCCGCACACUCCUCUCCCACCCGACCAUCCACCCGCUCCGCCGCGGGCCUCGACCCGAUUCACUGCGAAAGUUUCCACAUCUUCCCUAUGUGGUACAGGAGAGGGCCGCUGAAUAUCGACAAGAAGAGCUUCGCUGCUACGUGGAUAAAGGAGGUCUCAUCGCGCCCCUCCUGAGGCUGCACGUGCCCGAUGAUUGUCCCGCGUCCUGCCGCUCCUGUGAUGGUGGCGAGCGAACCUGCGCAAGUUACUCGGACGAACGAUGUCUCAACGACUGCGCGAUCAUGUAGAAGGCAGGCCCAAACCACAGCAGUCUGGCUUUCAUCCUCAACGGUCGUGCGGCCGACCGGGUAUACCAUGGCGUUACUAUCACGGCGCUGAGGAGGUUCAAUGUAGGCCCGUACCUUACUCGCUGGAUCAUAAACCUCCUGGACGAGCGUCGUGUCUGUGCUCGCUUCGGAAAGAGGGGAUCGACGAUGGCCAGGCGUGCGUGCGGACCUCCACAAGGAUUAGCCCUCGGUCCUCUUUUCCCCAUCAGUGCAGUGAGCUCGCUGAGUGUGGAGCUCAACAGAAUACCCGGACUGCACCACGCCUCCUCUACUGAUGGCCUCGCGUUACUCACGCCCUACGCAGGCAGAGAUGUCAUGCAGGCCAGACUGCAAUUCGCCCUCUCGAGGGUGGUGCGCUGGGCACUGGAGCACUGCGUAGGGCCGAGCGUCUCUGGACGUACACGCUCUUUGCUGCGUGGCACCGCAGCCAGCUACAGCCCUCCGUUGCAAGCACGUACACGGUAGAGGGCCGCCACCUUCGCCUUCUCGGCGUGGACUUUCAGCCCAUGCGCCGCUUGCUGGCAUGCUGCAUAGGUUAUCCACGAAACGUAUGCAGGGCCCAACUUGCCAGGCAGAGGGCAGUGCGCAGUCACGAGAGCGGCCUCUCCAAGGAUCUUCCCCGCUGCUUGCGCAUGACAGUGGCUGGCUAACAGCAGCUCUACGGCGCCGCAGCGUGGUGGAAUCAUGUAUUUUCUGCGCAAAGGCCCGCCAGCGCUUUCGUGCGACAGCAGCCACAGUCACGGUGGGUACUGCACAGCACGCAGGCAACGGAGGCCCACUCAUAGAGGCCGAUCUCCGGUCCCACACAUCCAUGGUACGCAUGCGCCUCACCCGCUGCUCUCUCACUUUCUCUCCGAGAUCACCCGAGGAGGCUGCCCUGCGCAUUUUGUGCAG
This 1620-nucleotide unclassified non-coding RNA is filed under the name Leishmania donovani. Its description in RNAcentral is "gene:unknown". Lineage: Eukaryota; Euglenozoa; Kinetoplastea; Trypanosomatida; Trypanosomatidae. The record is from RNAcentral.